CUUGGCCCAUUGGUUGAACAAGGGUUAAUUAAUGCUUCUACACCCAGAGGUCUGGGGUUCGAGUCCCAGAUACUGCGAUUUAUUAAUAAAUUUGCAGAUUAUUAGAGGCAAGUGUGCAGGAGAUCUCCAGCGAUGUACAAUUAUAGCCGUUCGCCAGGAUUCUACGCAGAGAGGAAAAGUGUCCAUCAAGAGCAUAAAGAAGGAGGUGAGUAUGAAGAAGAAGGUGAAGAAGGUGUCGUCUGUCGUGGAAUUGUCCGUUGUAGAAUCGUCUAUGUAACAGUUAUCAUAAUUUGCAAUUAAUAAUAAAUCCAGACGUUAAAAAAAAAAAAACCAAAAUGAACCUUACUUUGGUUAAAAUCAUGUGAUUUCAAUUAUAGUUAGCUAUUGUGAAGAAUAAUAUGGCACUUUACAAGUUCCGGAGAUUAGUUUAGAUUUCAGCUCAGAUUUCUUGGUUCUUUAUAAAAUUUGGUAAGAAUUAACACUU
RNAcentral lists this long non-coding RNA (484 nucleotides) under Arabidopsis lyrata. RNAcentral's name for it is "long non-coding RNA (ALYR_LNC000651)". Lineage: Eukaryota; Viridiplantae; Streptophyta; Magnoliopsida; Brassicales; Brassicaceae. The record is from RNAcentral.